This 163-nucleotide ribosomal RNA is filed under the name Chaerophyllum macropodum. RNAcentral's name for it is "5.8S ribosomal RNA". It matches the Rfam family "5.8S ribosomal RNA". Rfam says of the family: 5.8S ribosomal RNA (5.8S rRNA) is a component of the large subunit of the eukaryotic ribosome. It is transcribed by RNA polymerase I as part of the 45S precursor that also contains 18S and 28S rRNA. Lineage: Eukaryota; Viridiplantae; Streptophyta; Magnoliopsida; Apiales; Apiaceae. The record is from RNAcentral.
AAACGACUCUCGGCAACGGAUAUCCUGGCUCUCGCAUCGAUGAAGAACGUAGCGAAAUGCGAUACUUGGUGUGAAUUGCAGAAUCCCGUGAACCAUUGAGUCUUUGAACGCAAGUUGCGCCCGAAGCCACUAGGCUGAGGGCACGUCUGCCUGGGUGUCACGC